CCCUUUCUUCUUCAAAAUUCAAAUUCAUUGUUUCCCAAGCCAGAUCUACAAAAAUCCAUGAGCCCUCACCUUUAUCUUCAUCCAACGUGUCAACCCAGGGAUGCAUAUAUCCUAAACAAGAAGGUCAAAGCUAAGCAGCAUUCUUCCCAGCUUGAUUGAAUCUAUAUGAAGUAAAAUUAGCGGGUCAUUUGGCUUCAAAAAGAUUCAAAUUUUGAAUCCCAUCAAUUUCUUCAAACAAGCAAACGGAAGGUCGUCGCCGAUGAAUUUUCCACCCACUGGAUCAAAUUUACACCUGUGUUCAGGUAUGCUUUUUCUUGGUUUUCUUUGAAUUCCUAUAAUUAAAAACCAACGCAAAGAACGAUGACUAAUCUAUAAAAUGCGUAGUAUUUUAGUUGAAAAUGUUUGUGUAAACCUGGUGUGCAUCUUCCUAAUGCAUGGAUAGGCCUUCAAACAUGAGGCUUUACACAAAAGGCCAAACUAUGUGAAUUCCUUUGUUUCUUCCAAAACUAUCUUUGGUGCUACAAGCUCAUAUUAUGAUGUUUUGCACCUGACCUGGACUACAAAGAAGCGCCAACUACAAAUUGAAAUGAUCGAUCAACUUUGUAACAAGUGGCACUGUGGAUCCAAUUGGUUGCACAGAGAGCAAUGCCCGUUGACUGGUGAUUGAAGUAUUUGGAUUUGGAUGGCCGGAAGAGUUUAACGUAGCCAUGAUGGCUAAAUGGUGGUGGCGGUUUCGGGACUGCCCCACCCACCCACCUUUGGUUAGAUGUCAUCUUAGCUAUACAUGGGCCGGAUAACGAAGAUAAAAUCAUCCCGGUUAAGCGUGCUAUUGCUGGAUGGUGGAAAGAUGAAAAAGUUUGGUAUCAAGAUUAAA
Molecule: long non-coding RNA, 874 nt
Filed under: Helianthus annuus (common sunflower)
Lineage: Eukaryota; Viridiplantae; Streptophyta; Magnoliopsida; Asterales; Asteraceae
Description: sRNA HanXRQr2_Chr12g0557351
Source: RNAcentral